GCCGGCAGCCAUAUCACCCUGUAGCCCAAGACUGGUUGCCCACUGAAGCUAAGCAGGGCUGAGCCUGGUCAGUACCUGGAUGGGAGACCUCCUGGGAAAAACUAGGUUGCUGCUGGAA
This 118-nucleotide ribosomal RNA is filed under the name Sinocyclocheilus anshuiensis. The record is from RNAcentral. Lineage: Eukaryota; Metazoa; Chordata; Actinopteri; Cypriniformes; Cyprinidae.